CACACCGCCCGUCACGCCAUGGAAGUUGGGAGUGCCCGAAGUCCGUGAGGCAACCGCAAGGAGCCAGCGGCCGAAGGCGAGCCCGAUGACUGGGGCG
Molecule: ribosomal RNA, 97 nt
Filed under: uncultured bacterium
Lineage: Bacteria
Description: partial 16S ribosomal RNA
Rfam family: Bacterial small subunit ribosomal RNA
Source: RNAcentral